This 60-nucleotide transfer RNA is filed under the name uncultured Urechidicola sp. It matches the Rfam family "tRNA", at positions 8 to 62 of the family's 71-position model. Rfam says of the family: Transfer RNA (tRNA) molecules are approximately 80 nucleotides in length. RNAcentral also lists the same sequence under 1 other name. Lineage: Bacteria; Pseudomonadati; Bacteroidota; Flavobacteriia; Flavobacteriales; Flavobacteriaceae. The record is from RNAcentral.
CCUUAGCUCAGUUGGUAGAGCAAUGGACUGAAAAUCCAUGUGUCCCUGGUUCGAUUCCUG